Molecule: ribosomal RNA, 253 nt
Filed under: uncultured bacterium
Lineage: Bacteria
Description: partial 16S ribosomal RNA
Rfam family: Bacterial small subunit ribosomal RNA
Source: RNAcentral
UACGAAGGGGGCUAGCGUUGCUCGGAAUUACUGGGCGUAAAGCGCACGUAGGCGGCUCUUUAAGUCGGGGGUGAAAUCCUGGAGCUCAACUCCAGAACUGCCUUCGAUACUGAAGAGCUCGAGUCCGGGAGAGGUGAGUGGAACUGCGAGUGUAGAGGUGAAAUUCGUAGAUAUUCGCAAGAACACCAGUGGCGAAGGCGGCUCACUGGCCCGGAACUGACGCUGAGGUGCGAAAGCGUGGGGAGCAAACAGG